CACACCUGUUCAGCCUCACAGGAUCUGUUCUGACUCUAAACUACCUGAGGAUGAGGAGCAUUCGUGCAAGAACUUUUUUCCACCAUUUUUUUAAUGUGUGUUGGCGCUGUUGAUUCCAGAAGCAACGUGGAGAAAUGUCAGCUCUUCGAUGCAGCAUGAAUGGAUUUUUGGAGAGCAUUCACAUGGAUUGCUUCCUCAUGGCCGCCUCCUCUGACUCCACCUUCCAUUUGAGGAACAUCAGAGAGAAAGCAGCCACUUUCAAGAUGUGCAGACACGCUUCCCUUGGACGGGACCCCAUCCCUGAGGGAGGCGUUGAGGUGGGAAUGCGGGCCCAGGCCCCCCCUUGGCCCCCGCUUCCUUGACCGCAAGCAGCUGGGUCCUUCUUUCGCCAGGAUUGUGGAAACAAACUGACGGCAGAGGUAAACAUCAAGGGGGGAAAACUACUCCUAAAAUUUCAAUGAUUGGGGAGGUCGUCUGUCUCCAUUCAAGGACAACUUGGUUCAUACAGUGGUGAAAGGAUAGCGACCCCUGCUGUCUGGGUUUGUCAUUGGCCCCAAUAACUGCACAACUGUUUUGUGGGAAUAACCAAGGUAAUAUACUGGAUGAGCAUCUUUUAAUUAUACACUGAGAAUAUAUAUUUUCAUUUGACGAUUCAUUUUUUUUUAAUUCAUAACUUGUUGGGUCAAUUUAAUCACUGUUGAACAGAAUUUCAUUGUUUGUCCAAAAUUUUAUCCAAAUCAAAGUUGUUUUUUUUUUUGCUCUAAAAUAAUGAAAUUACAUAACUGACCCAAUCAAUCACA
This is a long non-coding RNA of Syngnathoides biaculeatus (alligator pipefish), 800 nucleotides long. RefSeq lists it as uncharacterized. NCBI's taxonomy places the organism in Eukaryota, Metazoa, Chordata, Actinopteri, Syngnathiformes, Syngnathidae. The transcript is spliced from 4 exons. The record is from RefSeq and is a predicted model, not a curated record.